UUUUCUUCUUGGCAAAGACUGUCGAACACUUUCCAACUUAAGCAACGCGCAUUUCCGAAGCUAAAAUCUCCGAGUCAACCUCUCUAAUCAUUUCUAAAAUUUUGUAGAAAAUAUAUUUUCCUUUUAAUAGUAAUAUCGUUUUAAGCUUAGAAACGACUCCAUCCUCUCUCAAAAUCUUCAUCUGCCACUUUUUUUCGGCUGCCGUUUUGAUCCGGCGAACUCCACCAUAGUCAUUCGUGACCAUCCGAGGGUGGAAUGGCUACUACCAUGGCUUAAGUUAUUAUGUACCCUUGAUCUUAGUUCCACUUUUGUUUCAAUUGAUGAAUGUAGAAUCUUGCUUCUUCUCAUGGGAGCUGUUGGUUUAGCAAGAUGGAUGUCAUCUGUUGCAAACCAGUGUAAGGAGGGUGAAGGACCAAACGAUGAAGAGGAUAUGAAACUUUGCAUAAUGGGAGUUGGUGAUAACCAUCAACCAUGACACAAUUGAUGAGGAUAUUAUUUAUGAGCACAAUGAAGUUUCAAGUUUUUAUUUAAAUAUUUGUUAGGUUUUUGUUUUAUAUGUUAAAUAUUUA
Molecule: long non-coding RNA, 569 nt
Organism: Helianthus annuus (common sunflower)
Lineage: Eukaryota; Viridiplantae; Streptophyta; Magnoliopsida; Asterales; Asteraceae
Exons: 3
Source: RefSeq, a predicted model, not a curated record